RNAcentral lists this non-coding RNA (23 nucleotides) under Mus musculus (house mouse). The record is from RNAcentral. Lineage: Eukaryota; Metazoa; Chordata; Mammalia; Rodentia; Muridae.
UAGGACAGUUGCUCAGGGAGUCC